AUGCUCAUUUUGUUACUUGGAAGUGUCGCCGCUUUCCUUUUUUUUUUUUUUCUUUUCUUUUCUUUUCUUCCCCCCUGCCUGGUUUCGCGUGGGGUCGGGCGGCUUCUCGGGGCGCUGAGCGUCGGCCCGGGGCGGGCGCGAGACUUGUCAGCGCAGCCGGGGGCGCGGCGGGGCGCGGUCCUGCCUCCGCGGGCUCCGCGCUCCCCCGCGCCGGGACCCGGGGACCCCGGCGCCCCGAAGUUCCCGCACCGUUUGCAGACAACUCUUUUGUUCGCGGAAGUUUGCGUCCGGCACCCCCGGGAUGCGGGCGCGCGGCGGCGGGCCCCGCGGCUCCUGGACGGGCCGGGGCGGGGUGGGGGGGGGCGCCUGGCCCGGGGCGGGGGCGGCCGGCGGGGCGGCCGCGGGGGCGGGGUGCGGGGUGCGGGGCGGGCGGAGCGGGGGGCGCCGGCGCGGCUUCGCACAUGGCGCGCAGGGCCGCGCUGCACGGGCGCUGCUCGCCUCCCCUUCCUUUCCCGCCGGGAGUGCCUGCUGGCGGGGCCGGGGCGCGCGGGGCGAGGCGCGGGCAGGACCCCCGGAGUUGCUCCCCGGAGUUGCUCCCCGGGGCGUCCCGGGGGACCACGCUGGCGGCGCGGGCCGGGGCGGCGAGGGGGCGGCGAGGCGGCGGCGGGGCGCGCUCUGCUGCUCGGGCCGGUCGCCCCGGGAGCCCCCCGGGGCCGGGCUGCCCGCGUCCGGCCGCCGGGCUCGUUCGCACGCACUGUACUUGGUCCGAUGGUGAACAAAGAACAGCGCUUUGCGGCGUUUGAUGAAUGGGAUUCCGCCUCCUAUAGGCCACACUCCGAGCCUUCGGUGCGCUGCAGCCCGCGGACCCGGCGGCGGCGGCGGGCGGGCGGGCGGGCGGCCCCUCGGGGGUGCUGCACCCCGGGCCCCCGACCCCCGGGGCAGGGCCCGGCCGCCGCCGCCGCCUCGCCUUGCCGCCGCCUCGCCUUGCCGCGGCGGGCGCAGAUGGGGCCGGGCCGACGGUGGUUCAACAGGAACAAAUGUUUGUUGAAUUGUUGGAUGGCGGAGACGAGGGGCUGUUCCUAUCGACUGCUGCAGGAGCAGGAGCCGGAAUGGCAUUGUUUAUUGGCCUGGGAAGCCGGCGAGCGUCUUGCGCCGCUCGCCUCCGCAUUCGCCCGCCUCCAAAUGACACACCAGCAUGACUGGUUGGUGGCCCUUGACCCGGUGUCUGCACUUGGCUAGGAUCUGGAUGCUGCCAGCCAUCCUGCAAAAGGGAGGAGCAUGCUGCUCUAGCUCCUAGGAUCUAGAAAAGGAAGGAGAGGCUUGGGACAG
Molecule: long non-coding RNA, 1329 nt
Filed under: Canis lupus familiaris (dog)
Lineage: Eukaryota; Metazoa; Chordata; Mammalia; Carnivora; Canidae
Description: lncRNA (ENSCAFG00040020604.1)
Source: RNAcentral